This 440-nucleotide ribosomal RNA is filed under the name uncultured bacterium. RNAcentral's name for it is "bacterial SSU rRNA". It matches the Rfam family "Bacterial small subunit ribosomal RNA", at positions 338 to 795 of the family's 1533-position model. The record is from RNAcentral.
CCUANGGGGGGCAGCAGUGGGGAAUCUUGCACAAUGGGGGAAACCCUGAUGCAGCGACGCCGCGUGAGCGAUGAAGCCCUUCGGGGUGUAAAGCUCUUUCGACAGGAACGAUAAUGACGGUACCUGUGGAAGAAGCUGCGGCUAACUACGUGCCAGCAGCCGCGGUAAUACGUAGGCAGCGAGCGUUGUUCGGAGUUACUGGGCGUAAAGGGUGUGUAGGCGGUUCACUAAGUUCGGCGGGAAAUCUCCCGGCUUAACUGGGAGGGUGCGUUGAAAACUGGUGGGCUUGAGUAUGGGAGAGGUAAGCGGAAUUCCUGGUGUAGCGGUGAAAUGCGUAGAUAUCAGGAGGAACACCUGUGGUGUAGACAGCUUACUGGACCAUCACUGACGCUGAGACACGAAAGCGUGGGUAGCAAACAGGAUUAGAUACCCUANUANUC